GGCUGAACUUUUAGAGUCCGUAUAGGUGAAGGAAACCAACCUAGAGUGGGUUUCGGCCUCCUUUCCCAAGGCUGGCCGCAUACCCCUCUAGUCCUCCAUAUAUACCCCCGUUAGGUCUUCGUUUAGACUCGGAUUUUGUUUAGUUUGAGACCUAGCUAUUCGCUACUCUUCGCCAUAGGCACAAGUGUCAAAUCGACCUUCUGUACUACGCGCUUGCAGAAUCCCAUCAAUAAAGCUUCACCUUUAUUCGCAAUAUCUUGAUUGCAUCUAUAAUUCUUGCUUGUUCUUCGGUUGCAUGCAGGGAUUGAUCCUCCGUGAUCAGGUUGAUCUAGCUCCGGCGUGGUCAAUAACCUCGGAAGUUGGUGUAGCGAUCGCUAAGGUGCAACGUCUCGCACGUUUGUAGCCGGUUCGUCAAUGUCGACAUCCACCCAAAAAUCGAUAGCUACCGUCUCAUCGAAAGAUCGGGCACCUUUCCCCUAUCAAGUGGUAUCAGAUUUCAGGUUGCUCGGUGAGAUCUUACUGUUUUCCCAGCUUAGUUGCAUCUGAUUUAUUCCUACAGUCCACGAAAAAGCCAAAAAAAAAAUUAGGGUUAGAUCUUGUCCUACAAACAAUUUCGAGCCUUUGCAUCUUUUCUUUCAGUACGUGCAUUGUUGAAUUUUAGUCUGCAUCGUCGUGUCGAGUGCUGGUUUUAGAGUCUAGACUUUUAGAGUUUCGAGUUCUGUUCAUAGCCGUCACGCCGCCUCGCCUCGCUCGCCGAUCUUCCACACCACCACAUAUCCCUACCCGUAUCAAUUUCGGUUCCACUUACCUUCCGCCACCAAUUCCGCCACCACAUAUCCUUAACCGUAUCAAUUUCGGUUCCACUUACCAUCUUCCGCCACCAAUUCCGCCACCACAUAUCCAUAUCCGUAUCAUUGUCGAUUUCACAUACCCUAUCAAAUCAGGUUUAUUUUGUUUUCCUUUUUAGAGUUUGCUUCCCAUACGAAGAGAUCUCGAUUCGAUCUGUAAGUUGAUAUAAGUCCGGAAAGUUUCGGCCGCAAGGAAAGAGGAGGGGAGUAAAAAAAAAAAGUCUGAAACCCUCUCCGAAUUUUUUUUUAGCAUACACUGUUCUUAUACUUCCGGGAUCGUUUUUAGCUAUCCGCCAUCAUAGCGGAAAUUUUGAGACGUCUGCACGCUUUCCAGAGCAGCUUUUUGCAGUUUCAGUUUUUGGCCACACAUUUUUUCGAGGCUAUCUAGGUUUUAGACCUUGCUUCUCGUUUUGAGUCACGUUCCAUCAUAGUGAGUUUUCGUUUAUAUCUAUCCGUUUCCCAGCACUGUACCGGUUGCUUUUGGUGUCGCGGCGUGACUCCCAAGUGUUCUAGGCUCGCGUCUCUAGCACGGUAUAGCCUAGGGCCAGCACGGUACCGUCGUUGAGCUAUUAUUCAACUUGUGGCAUUACUGUUUUGAAUUGUUGCUCCAGAUAUUAGGAUACAGCCACCCAGAGCUCCACAUACUCCUACACCGUGCGUUGACACCGCCUUGCAAUCGCUUUAUUCAAUCUUCCUGAGGUUUAAUCACACCGGUUGCUAGUCACCACCUGCUGCAGGGUAAGAACGGGUAAGAAUCUUGGUUUGCUUGACAGAUUACGCGUUCUCCACCACUUGCCGAAGCAUAUACACCCAUAUUGCUGUGCUUUUUGAAUACUAAUCAUGAUAGGUGGGGAGGAGACUUCAGAACCAACAAGCGCCGAAGUACAGGCGAACUUCACCAAGCUUUUGGACGAUCACAUGCAGGACGUCGACAAACGCUUUAAUGAUACGAUGGAACACCUUGAGGGCCUCGAAACAUCUUUCACCGACAAGCUCGACGCCAAAUUCCGGGAGUUGAUGGCGCGCUUGCCACAACCUACUGCCACUCGGGCUUCGCCUCUCCACGCAUUUGCUUGGCGGGCACAGCGUGUUCCCGUUCACCAAGGUCAAACCUCGGCUGCUGCUGCUCGUGAGGAGCAACAUGAGGAGUCUUACGGGGACGACGAGUCCGAGGGCGAGCGAGAGGACGAGGGGGAACUUCUACAACAGCCGCGUGGUCGUCCACGCCCCUACAUUCGCCACGCACGCCCGCAUGUGCCGCCGGUACGUGAUGAUGACCAUGUUGCGAAAUUAAAAUUGACUAUACCCAUGUUUGAUGGUAGAUAUAAUCCUGAUGCAUACCUUUCAUGGGAAUUAGAAGUACAGCAACGUUUUACAUGCUUAAAUUAUCCAGAGGAUAGACGUGUUAGUGCUGCUACUUGUGAGUUCACUAGUUUUGCUUCCAUCUGGUGGACUGAAUAUUGUCGUGUUAAUUAUGCUAAUCCAGUCACUACAUGGGAUGCUUUGAAACGGGCCAUGCGAACUCGUUUUGUGCCACCAUCAUAUCAGCGUACCUUGCUCAACAAAUUAACACGUUUAGAUCAGGGCAAAAAUUCUGUAGAAGAGUACUAUCAAGAACUACAAACUGGUAUGAUGCGUUGUGGCAUAGUGGAAGAUAAUGAAGCUUUACUUGCAUGAUUUUUCGGUGGGUUAAAUAAGGAGAUUCAGACCAUUCUUCAAUACAAGUCAGACCAUACUAUAACUCGUUUGUUCCACCUUGCUUGCAAUGCUGAAUGUGAAGUGCAGGAUCGGAGAGAGGCGACCCGAACUAACUUUUCUGCAGGGCGUUCUAAUUCUUGGAGAACAUCGCCUUCUUCGUCACGGGCUGCUGCACCAUCCACUUCCACGCCCACACCCACGCGAGCUACAACUACUACAUCGCAUCCUGUUGCCGCCAAGCGUGCCUCCGCUGGACCCGCACCAAGUUCUUCUUCCUCCAUGGCGUCUACGGGCAAAACCAGCCAGAUUCAAUGCCGCAAAUGCAGCGGGCUUGGCCACUUUGUGCGUGACUGCCCCUCCGCUCGUGUGAUGAUCGCUCUUGAGGACGGUGGUUAUGAUUCCGCCAGUGAUUAUGAUGAGAACACUUUAGCUCUUCUUGCACAUGAGGAGCAAUGCGCUGCAGCAAACAAGGAGCACGAUUCCCACUUUAUGGCUGCCGAAGAUGCUGAGAAAUACCCAAGCUUAAUUGCACAACGAGUUUUGAGUGCACAAGUGACGAAGGCCGAACCAAAUCAGCGCCAUAAUUUGUUCCAUACCAAGGGUGUGGUAAAAGAUCGAUGUGUUCGCAUUAUUAUUGAUGGUGGGAGCUGUAACAAUUUGGCGAGUUUUAACCUUAGGGUUCACCGGCGGCGACCAAAACGUGCGGCGGCGGGCGACGAGCUCCGGCGAGCAAUUCCGGCGGCGUGGGCGCGCGAGAGAUUGGGGAACCAAGGGGGAAGAAGAGUGGGGGCUCUAGUUUUACAUUGACGCGCUCGGGGCUGCGAAAUAUGGACGGGGCGCGGAGAUCUCUGCGGAGACGGCGCGCGGUGGUGAAGAACGAAAGCAGCUGAUGAGGACAUCCCACAUGUUGAUACACCCACAGCACCUACAGUCACAUUACAAGGACCUAUCACAAGAGCUCGCGCACGCCAACUUAAUUAUCAGGUACUUCCGUUUCUUGGAACGAUUCUUAACAUACAUGAGAAUAUGAUGCUGCCUAAAUCAGAUGUGUUUGUCACACUUAGGAAUGAUGGACCUAGCAUGGAUGAGAGGGACAAGCAUUGGAGCAUGAUCACGCAUGGAGAUGAAGGCAGCAAGCGUGUGAGGACUGAAGAUGGCGCCGCAACGGGAGGUUUCAGAACGUUGAAGCCACCAUAAUGAGAGAUGAAGACAUGGGCGAAAUAUAGAACUUUUCCCUUCAUAUUUUCGUCCACAUAAUUAUAUGGUGCUGCGUCACCUUUUAAGUUUGGGCUAGGCCCAUGUAAUUUUCGUCCACAUACAUGGGCUGAACUUUUAGAGUCCGUAUAGGUGAAGGAAACCAACCUAGAGUGGGUUUCGGCCUCCUUUCCCAAGGCUGGCCGCAUACCCCUCUAGUCCUCCAUAUAUACCCCCGUUAGGUCUUCGUUUAGACUCGGAUUUUGUUUAGUUUGAGACUUAGCUAUUCGCUACUCUUCGCCAUAGGCACAAGUGUCAAAUCGACCUUCUGUACUACGCGCUUGCAGAAUCCCAUCAAUAAAGCUUCACCUUUAUUCGCAAUAUCUUGAUUGCAUCUAUAAUUCUUGCUUGUUCUUCGGUUGCAUGCAGGGAUUGAUCCUUCGUGAUCAGGUUGAUCUAGCUCCGGCCUCGGAAGUUGGUGUAGCGAUCGCUAAGGCGCAACGCCUCGCACGUUUGUAGCUGGUUCGUCAACGUCGACAUCCACCCAAAAAUCGAUAGCUAACGUCUCAUCGAAAGAUCGGGCACCUUUCCCCUAUCAGCGGCGGCGGACGCGGGCGCUUUUUAUCGGGGACGAAGACCCUGACGCGUGGGUCCCAUGCGUCAGCGGCAGCGGGCGCGCGCGCGUGCGGCGGGGCUGGUCCGGCCCGGUCGAGCAUGGUCGGACGGGGCCGGUUCGGCCCAUUUUGGUCGGGCCGGUCCGGUUUUCAUUUUUUUUUUCUUUUAGCCCUUUUCUUUUUCUGUUUCUUAUUUCUUUGAUAACUUUUGAUUUUGAACUCCAAAUUGAUCCAAAUAAAUUCCAGAAAAUUUGUAAAAUCAUGUUCUAUCAUGAUUCAACUUUUGGGAGUAAUUUCCCUUCAAAAUAAAAUUUCUAAAAAUACAUUUGCCCUAUAAAUGCGUUUAGGGCUAUAUAACUAUUUAAAUAAAAUAGUUUUUCAACUCCAAAUAAUUGUCCAAAAAUCAUGGGAUAGCUCAUUUAUGUAAUAAACCCUUUUAUAAAUAAACCUUAUUGGUUUGAAGAUUCAAAGCUCAAAUGGGUGUAAACCCUAGGGUUUAAAUUGAAAUAAAAACUUUUAAAGCCUUUUGAGAUUCAAAUUUGAAUUCAAACAUGCAAUUGUGGCAUGAUGCUUAUGGAUGCAAUGCAUAUGAAAGGAUUUGAAAUUUUCGGAUGUUACAUGGAUACCACCUUGAGAAUA
This 4993-nucleotide long non-coding RNA is filed under the name Brachypodium distachyon (stiff brome). Its description in RNAcentral is "long non-coding RNA (BDIS_LNC003299)". The record is from RNAcentral. Lineage: Eukaryota; Viridiplantae; Streptophyta; Magnoliopsida; Poales; Poaceae.